Molecule: ribosomal RNA, 465 nt
Filed under: uncultured bacterium
Lineage: Bacteria
Description: partial 16S ribosomal RNA
Rfam family: Bacterial small subunit ribosomal RNA
Source: RNAcentral
CCUACGGGGGGCUGCAGUAGGGAAUCUUCCACAAUGGGCGAAAGCCUGAUGGAGCAACGCCGCGUGGGUGAAGAAGGUCUUCGGAUCGUAAAACCCUGUUGUUAGAGAAGAAAGUGCGUGAGAGUAACUGUUCACGUUUCGACGGUAUCUAACCAGAAAGCCACGGCUAACUACGUGCCAGCAGCCGCGGUAAUACGUAGGUGGCAAGCGUUAUCCGGAUUUAUUGGGCGUAAAGGGAACGCAGGCGGUCUUUUAAGUCUGAUGUGAAAGCCUUAGGCUUAACCGGCGUAGUGCAUUGGAAACUGGGAGACGUGAGUGCAGAAGAGGAGAGUGGAACUCCAGGUGUAGCGGUGAAAUGCGUAGAUAUAUGGAAGAACACCAGUGGCGAAAGCGGCUCUCUGGUCUGUAACUGACGCUGAGGUUCGAAAGCGUGGGUAGCAAACAGGAUUAGAUACCCCUGUAGUC